RNAcentral lists this unclassified non-coding RNA (338 nucleotides) under soil metagenome. RNAcentral describes it as "partial contains 5.8S ribosomal RNA, internal transcribed spacer 2, and large subunit ribosomal RNA". The stretch from base 1 to 120 matches the Rfam family "5.8S ribosomal RNA", at positions 35 to 154 of the family's 154-position model. The record is from RNAcentral.
GAUGAAGAACGCAGCGAAAUGCGAUAAGUAGUGUGAAUUGCAGAAUUCUGUGAAUCAUCGAAUCUUUGAACGCACAUUGCGCCCUUUGGUAUUCCUUAGGGCAUGCCUGUUCGAGCGUCAUUUAAAAAUUCAAGCUCAGCUUGGUGAUGGGUGUCUGUCCCACCUUUGCGUGCGGACUCGCCUCAAAUGCAGUUGGCAGCUUAUCCUCCGGCCCUAAACGCAGCAGAUUUGCGUCGAAGCGCCGUCCGGACGGGCUCUCCAGUAAGCAAACCCCCCAAGAUUGACCUCGGAUCAGGCAGGGAUACCCGCUGAACUUAAGCAUAUCAAUAAGCGGAGGA